GCCUCCUUAGCUCAGCUGGCAGAGCGGCGCUUUCGUAAAGCGUAGGUCCGCGGUUCGAAUCCGCGAGGAGGCU
This 73-nucleotide transfer RNA is filed under the name bacterium SCGC AG-212-C10. It matches the Rfam family "tRNA". Rfam says of the family: Transfer RNA (tRNA) molecules are approximately 80 nucleotides in length. Their secondary structure includes four short double-helical elements and three loops (D, anti-codon, and T loops). The record is from Rfam by way of RNAcentral.